GUGAAUCUGUUGUGCUGGACUUGUCAUGGUGUUGGCAAAGCUGCGACAAUUCGAGAGCUUCAUGACCUCAUGAGACAAUAUGCCUCUCUUGUAUUGUGCGUAGUUGAAACCCAAAUCUCUAAGCCCAGGGUUGAAAACUUAUCUAGUACAUUAGGCUUUGAUAAUUCGUAUGCUAUUAGUAGUAAUGGAAGGAGCGGAGGGCUCGGUCUCUUUUGGAACAAUUCAAUAAACUUGAAGUAUCUAGUGGGGCAGCAAAAUUGGCAAAAGGAUUUUUUAUGGGAAGUGAUGACGAGACACUUAGGAGGGUUUGUCUUUAGGGACAUUGGACUUUUCAAUCUUUCCCUACUUGCUAGCCAGGCCUGGCGACUUUGGCAGCAACCAGAGAUGUUAAGUGAAAGAAUUUUGAAAGCUAGAUAUUAA
RNAcentral lists this ribosomal RNA (420 nucleotides) under Triticum aestivum (bread wheat). RNAcentral's name for it is "partial small subunit ribosomal RNA". Lineage: Eukaryota; Viridiplantae; Streptophyta; Magnoliopsida; Poales; Poaceae. The record is from RNAcentral.